Molecule: long non-coding RNA, 346 nt
Organism: Xyrauchen texanus (razorback sucker)
Lineage: Eukaryota; Metazoa; Chordata; Actinopteri; Cypriniformes; Catostomidae
Exons: 3
Source: RefSeq, a predicted model, not a curated record
GGGAGCACAUGACACAUCUGCGACUGACGAUGGCAGAGGAACUUCUGAAAGGCUCAGUAUUCAAGAGGGGACAUUGUUGCUCAUUAUGUGCUGCCUCAAAACCCCCCAGUGGUGGUGCAAAAACAUUUUGGAUUGAAUGUCACCGUUGCAAGAGGUGGUUCCAUGUGGCAUGCCUUUCUAUGUCACAAAAGGAGUUCAAGAGAGUUCAGAAGGUUGACUGGAAGUGCUGCCUAUGCAAAUAAUUGUGGAUUGGUCAUUGGUAAUUUGUACAGUUCCCUACAAUUACCAAAAAAGUGUCAAAGGCCAAGAAAGAGUCUUGUUGGCAGCCGACUGACAUAAAAUGAAU